GGAGUAUUUGUGAUACAAUGCAUGUUGGAGUAGUGGAGGAUGUAUAUUUGGGAACAUAGGCCUACACAGUUAUAUUUUAUAUUUUCUUGAUCCCUAAUGUCAUUGAAGGAUCAGCUACUUAUUUGAGCAUCUUCACUGAAAAUUCCUAGGCCUAUCAAAGUGCACAUGGGAUUGCAGAGUUCCCAGAUAUUUAUUCCAUGUAUGCUGAGUGAAGUUCAACAAGUCACUGACUGUGUCUUCAGAGAUGCUGAAUACCUUGAAACCCACCAGUUUCAGUGGGAUUUGACCAAGAGACUGACAUGAUCUGUCAAGAUCGAGACACAGAAAAGCUGCGCACAUCAGUGUCAGUGCUCUGUCUGGCUGCUGAGACUGAUCUUCGUCUGCUAAGGCCUGGGUUCUUCAAAACAACCUGCCAAGGCAGCAGAGUACAGCUGGGAGUCAGACUUCUGCCCAAUUUCAGCUUUAGAGUAUGUGGCCAGAAUCCCACCUGUCGGUAUGUAAAUCUCAUCUGCUUUACAGCAGUCACAUUCAGCAAUACUUGGGCAGUAAGCAUACUACAUUUCUCUGUAGUAACUGGUUAAAACAAAACUUAGAGUCUUGAAUCCCAUUCUGAUUUCAUUUACACUAAAUUAGUCUGGAUGUCUUUGAUUAACGAAAAGAAAUUAGAUAUGAUCAGUCACAGGGGUGGAGAAUAUUUUUCAACUCAUUGGCUCAGGCUCCAGCUGGAUAAACUGGCAUAAUCUCAUC
RNAcentral lists this long non-coding RNA (747 nucleotides) under Anas platyrhynchos platyrhynchos (common mallard). RNAcentral describes it as "lncRNA (ENSAPLG00000031228.1)". The record is from RNAcentral. Lineage: Eukaryota; Metazoa; Chordata; Aves; Anseriformes; Anatidae.